ACCCAUGAGACUAGAAUUUUAACAGAAGUGCUACUAGGGUGCAGAAGUCAGGGAGGUUAGGGGGCCAUCUGAAGAUUUUGCGGUUGGAAUCAAUCUCGAGGAAAGGUCGUUUUCUUCAGGGAGACGUGCAAAAUCACCUAGACGGGAAACACAGUAUAGAAACGGAGGGAAGGGUACUUGGAAGGAUGAAACACGAAGAGGGUGAACAAGUUGGAUGGAGAUGAGGGGGUUGGAGCUAAGCUGGAAACUCUGACCUUGACCACUAGCACCCCUAGCCCAUGAGAUUGUUAUGGAGCGUAGAGCAGGAGACGAUGCUUUGGAAAGACUUCAGGCAUAUAGCACCCACUGGCUUGGGACGGAUUUGUAAGAAACACCAGCGGGAGCCUUUACGACAGAUCUGUGCUAUGUCUUGAGGCUGAAUUGAGGCAUUUGUGCUGGGAGUGCAGAGGAGGAAGACAGUUAUGCUUGGUAUUGCCACGGGAAGAAGACAGAUCUCAAGGAUCAGAACUGGCUGCUGCUUGAGCCUAGUUGCUUGGGGCGAGGCAGCCUCUGUUCUUUCCUUCCCUCCUCUUUGGAGAGUUUUUGUUUCCUUCUCUUCAGGGGGUCUCUUAGCUGAUGUUAGGGGCAUUUGUGUUUACAAAGAAUAGCAUAAAAAACCACUAUAAUCCUACUGUUUUUAUACACAGAGUAAACAGCUCAAAAAAAAAAAAAAAGUAAGUAAAUAAAACCCGCAAGAUUUAAAGAGUUAGAAACAGGUUGAGAAAAAGAGCCGAAAGAUCAGAGUCCCACUUCUACCCUCCUUCCUCCCAGGUUAUUGACUACUGCUGAUGGAUGAGGCGAAAUACUCACAGUGCCACGAAGAAAUGAAUUCGCUGGUACUGCCAGGAGAAGAGACCAGCGCGGCUAAAAUAGGCGAUGACCAUGGACAAGAGAUACUGGCGGAAAGAGGAGAAAAGCCGUCAUAGAAGGGUCCCAUCCUGGGAGAGGAAGACCAGUGAGUGGCAUCGGGGUACAAAGAUGGCCUGUCCUCCCCUCCCCGCCCCCGCCCCCGGCCCCGCCCCCGCCCCGACACAGCGGAAGGCACUCAGACUCAAAAGGCCAGUAAGCGCUAAGAUGUCUCAGGAGUGCGACCGCACCUAAGCUUUCUCAUCCCUCUGUCAUUUCUAAGUGUCCCCGAUGAGGGGUCAGUAUGGAGUCCUCCAAGGAUGGAGAGAGAGAGCUCAGCGACCUGCAAAGAAUUAUUUUCCAUUGGAAAAGCGUAGCCAUUGGAAGUUUCUUGUGUUUUCAGGAAAAACGAAUAAGGUUGGAGGGUGCUGUUCCUACCGAGCAGCCUGUUGAACGCCUCGUGGUGCUCAGGGAGCACUGAAGAUACCCGCUGUCUCUUCAGCUUCAUCUUGAGUCCCCUCAGUGUCUCCACCACCCAGAUGUCGUUGGCCUCAGGGGCUGUCUCCUCGUCGGAUUCGAUGUCUCUCUUCCUUCCGCGGGACUGAGGCAAGGGGCAGGGGUCUACAAAGGGGGCUGAGUGAAGAAACCAGGCUACAGUACGAAGCUUCUUCUGUCUUUGGAAUUCAGCCACGCUUUCCACACCCGCAAACCCAAACUCCCUCUUCAUUCUCUGUAGCCUCAUAGAUGAUUGGCCUCUCCAAAACCACCUUUCAUCUUUGUCCUUCAUUCAUAUGCAUUUGCCCCCAUUCAUCUUUGCCACUGUUUCAUACCUCCCACCACGCCCUCAAAACUCUUCCUCGUAGAUCAUUUCUCCCAUGAGGAUAAUGGGAUAAUGUCCUCUCUUCCUUUCUCUCAUCUUUGGAUCUCAUCACCUAACCCUCCUUCCUUGCUUCCUGGGUUUUCCUGCCAGUGGGAUACCCUUGUCCCCGGCUCCCGUGCUCUCUUCUCCAAUCCCUGGCUUUCUGAAUCUCUCCUGUCACGUGCAGUCUAGUCAGACACACCUUCCUGGCUUCUGUACCCAUUUGUACUCACUAGUCAAGCCUGUCAAGGCUUCUCCCUCCUGCUUCUCCCUCCUGCCUCCUCACCUGAUGGUCCUGGGCUUUCUUCAUCUACCACGGCCUCCGGGGGGUACCCUGAUGUGCUAGGCUGGGGGCUCUGGCCCUCAGACUGGGCGGACGGUUGACAACUGGCCAUGAUUUCUCCCAAGCUCUUUGCGCCCUCCCAGGAGACUCAGACCCUCCUCUUCUCAAACUCCCCUUCUGGCUUCUGGGUGAACCCAAGCCCUGUUAUCCCUUCUCUAAGCUGGGGCCAAGCUAGGAGUAUGGACAUGCUCUGCGAAGAUGCUCUUGUCCACCUCCGUUGCCAAGAACCACGGAGUCCAGUCUUUCCAAUCAGGAAGGUCAGAAGCCUCUGAUGUCAUGCACCAUUCCAGCCUGGCAGCCAUUUUGAAGGAAGACACGUGCAACUGCGAGACCGAGGUCCACUUCUGGAGUUCAGGAUCAAGGCUAUCUCAAGUCGCCGAUCCGGCCUGCAGCCAUCCUCCAAAACGGUCCUCGGGGUGUCUGGAUCACUCUACUCCUCUCCAGCAGAUGCGGGGCUCUCUGCAUCCUUCUAUUCCUGUUUCAGGGUGCAGUCUGGCAGGAGAGGGAGGAAACAGACGAGGGAAGACCUCGAGACGCCCUAGGAAGACGGCUUGCAGUGCUAACUCACAGAACAGAAUUCUGGGAUGGGGAGACGGGAAGAGGUUCUGGAUACCGACUUCGAAGAUCUGGUGUCUGAAGCUCAGUAUUAAAGGGAAAAUCUGGACACAAACAUCCAAGUAGAGAGAAGAGAGUGUGAUGACACAGGGAGAGAAGACUGACAUCUACCAGCCAGGGAGGGAGGAUGCAAGAGCCCCUCCCCCACAGCACUCAGAAGGAACCAGCCCUGCCCACACCUGAAUCUCAGACUCCCAGCCUCCAGAACAGUGAGAGAAUGUAUUUUUGUCGUGCCCACACCUGAAUCUCAGACUCCCAGCCUCCAGAACAGUGAGACCAUGCAUUUUUGUCGUGAACGCCUGAAAGCUGCCUGGUUUGUCUUACUUUGUUACAGCUUCCCUGUAGGCAGAUCCAACCAGUAUUUUUGAAGAAGAGGGAAUUCAGAUUUGACAGUCACUUUCCUGAUCCUUCUGCUGCCCCUUUCCCUAAGGCAAGACGCGUCCAUGUCCAGAGGCUUCAAAGAAGAACCGGUUCUUUCACACAGAUUAGAACCUUGAAUGCCUCUGGCAUUUCCUGGUCAAGGUGACUGUGUUCAUUUUGGAAAACAAGGUGGAAAGACUUCAAGAGAAGAAUGAUUUACAAAUCUUGAAGAUGGGUGCCAGUUAGCUUAAUAAAACUGAUGCAUUAAAGAGAGAAAAAUAAACGGGAGCAAACCGAGGCGACUACUUAGGAAAUUAAGGGUGGGAAAGGCUUCUUCAAAGACAGUGUCUAAGCAGAUGAAAAGUAUGAAGAGGAAGUGAACGAUUUGAACACAGAAACAAUAUCCAUAUGACAGAAAAUAAAGUAAAACAUUAGGUUACAAAGAUCAAUGACUUGGGUCGCCUGGGUGGCUUUGCAGUUUGGUCGCUGCCUUCUGGCCAGGGCAUGGUCCUGGGGUCCCGAGAUCCAGAUUGGCCCCCGUCGGGCUCCCCUUGGGGAGCCGGCUUCUCCCUCCACCUGUGUCUCUGCCUCUCUGUGUGCGUCUCUCAUGAAUGAAUGAAUGAAUGAAUGAAUAAAGCUCGAUGAUAAAUUGGGAGAAA
Molecule: long non-coding RNA, 3721 nt
Organism: Nyctereutes procyonoides (raccoon dog)
Lineage: Eukaryota; Metazoa; Chordata; Mammalia; Carnivora; Canidae
Exons: 4
Source: RefSeq, a predicted model, not a curated record